This 71-nucleotide transfer RNA is filed under the name Pyrocoelia rufa. RNAcentral's name for it is "tRNA-Gln". The record is from RNAcentral. Lineage: Eukaryota; Metazoa; Arthropoda; Insecta; Coleoptera; Lampyridae.
UUACAUUUUAGUAUAUUAUGUACAGAAGUUUUUGAUACUUCAAGUAAUAGUUUAAUUCUAUUUAAUGUAAU